AGGACGAACGCUGGCGGCGUGCUUAACACAUGCAAGUCGAGCGGAAAGGCCCUUCGGGGUACUCGAGCGGCGAACGGGUGAGUAACACGUGAGUAAUCUGCCCCUAGCUCUGGGAUAGCUCCGGGAAACCGGGAUUAAUACCGGAUACGACCACCUUAGACAUCUUUUGUGGUGGAAAGAAUUUCGGCUAGGGAUGAGCUCGCGGCCUAUCAGCUUGUUGGUGGGGUAACGGCCUACCAAGGCGACGACGGGUAGCCGGCCUGAGAGGGCGACCGGCCACACUGGGACUGAGACACGGCCCAGACUCCUACGGGAGGCAGCAGUGGGGAAUAUUGCGCAAUGGGCGAAAGCCUGACGCAGCGACGCCGCGUGGGGAUGAAGGCCUUCGGGUUGUAAACCCUUCAGCAGGACGAAGCGAAAGUGACGGUACCUGCAGAAGAAGCGCCGGCUAACUACGCGCCAGCAGCCGC
This 470-nucleotide ribosomal RNA is filed under the name uncultured bacterium. Its description in RNAcentral is "SSU rRNA". It matches the Rfam family "Bacterial small subunit ribosomal RNA", at positions 26 to 518 of the family's 1533-position model. The record is from RNAcentral.